RNAcentral lists this ribosomal RNA (540 nucleotides) under uncultured bacterium. RNAcentral's name for it is "partial 16S ribosomal RNA". It matches the Rfam family "Bacterial small subunit ribosomal RNA", at positions 355 to 887 of the family's 1533-position model. The record is from RNAcentral.
UGGGGAAUUUUGGACAAUGGGGGCAACCCUGAUCCAGCAAUGCCGCGUGUGUGAAGAAGGCCUUCGGGUUGUAAAGCACUUUUGUCCGGAAAGAAAACGUCGUGGUUAAUACCCGUGGCGGCUGACGGUACCGGAAGAAUAAGCACCGGCUAACUACGUGCCAGCAGCCGCGGUAAUACGUAGGGUGCAAGCGUUAAUCGGAAUUACUGGGCGUAAAGCGUGCGCAGGCGGUCCGCUAAGACAGAUGUGAAAUCCCCGGGCUUAACCUGGGAACUGCAUUUGUGACUGGCGGGCUAGAGUAUGGCAGAGGGGGGUAGAAUUCCACGUGUAGCAGUGAAAUGCGUAGAGAUGUGGAGGAAUACCGAUGACGAAGGCAGCCCCCUGGGCCAAUACUGACGCUCAUGCACGAAAGCGUGGGGAGCAAACAGGAUUAGCAUACCCUGGUAGUCCACGCCCUAAACGAUGUCAACUAGUUGUCGGGUCUUCAUUGACUUGGUAACGUAGCUAACGCGUGAAGUUGACCGCCUGGGGAGUACGGUC